This is a long non-coding RNA of Gossypium arboreum, 994 nucleotides long. RefSeq lists it as uncharacterized. The transcript is spliced from 6 exons. The record is from RefSeq and is a predicted model, not a curated record. Lineage: Eukaryota; Viridiplantae; Streptophyta; Magnoliopsida; Malvales; Malvaceae.
GGAAAAUGUUUUACAAAGCACAGGUAAAAUGAGUAUGAGUUUAUAGAAAAUGUCUUACCGAAUUUAUUUCUGUAAGACAUUUUCCAACUCUCACCAGGUUACUUUCUCCUCCUUGCUUCCGUUCUUCAUCCCUUCUCCUUCUUCAUCCAGGCAAAUAACACGUUGCUGUUUCGUUUCGCUCAAAUCUUCCUCUUCGUAGGGUCUUGGCUUAAGUCCAGUCCUGUUUUAGAAGCAUUUGGUAAUACUAAGACUGUAAGAGGGGAAGGAUUUCAGGAGCUCCUAUCAGGACUUACUUAUUAGAAAGAUCACGUGUUUGUCAAGUGUCUGAUCUUGAGAGAAAUUAUCACUAUUUCUACAUGCUUUGUGCAGCACCACCAGAACUUAUUGGAGAGGAAGAAUCAACCAAAAAAAUUUAGGUCAGCUUCCACAACUAAGCAUUCCACAAGUAUGAAAACUCGAAGGUGGUCUGUCAUGAGGUUAGGCCUCUAGCAAAUAUGAAAACUGGAGAGCAGAAAUUCUAUUCUGGAUUAAGAUCAAAUACAACACAGUCAGGUCGGACAUCAACUGCAAGCUCUUCAGUAGUUGAAAUCACCAAAUAGGAAAUGCCAAACUGGUGGAGAUCCUAUAAGCACACAAGAAUCAGUUGCAAAUUAAAAGCAAGCGAAGAGCUUUGGUAUUUUGUUAGUUUGAUAUUGGAUAUUGGAUUUGGUUGGUAUUAGUACAGAGUUUGUGCUGGUAUAGCUACUGUUUUGUUUUUGGUAAAGGCAAUAUUUUGGUGUUGGUUGAUAUUGCUAUAGGCACUUUGUUAUUGUUGGGUUCUUUUUGCUUGUGUAAAUGCUGGAUGGGUUGAUAAAUGCCUACAAUAUUUCUACUCAAUAAAGGACAUACAAGGAUUAAUCCAUACUGUUGAUCAUUGUACUUGUAUAAUUGACUUAUUAGCUCGAUGUGGAAAUAUAUGACUUAACCCAUACUACUGAUUAUUACUAUUGUAUAA